GAAUGAGGCAUGCACUGUGGAUCACAAGUCUUAAGUAGGUGCUGAUGUGUUUUGAAUAGUGGAGUAUAUUUUAAAUUCAAAUUUAUGUGAAUUAAUAAGCAAUCUCCCAUGUUUAUACUCUCAUUAUUAUGUGUAGGCCAUCCUCGAGGUGAUUAUCAAGCUUUUUUUUUAUUAUUAUUUAUUUUUUAAAUCUCUUAAGCUCAAUUCAAUGGCAUGAAUUAUCCUAGUAGUGAGUUAUGCAUACUUCCCAACUUCCCUUUGGUGGAUGAACAAUCCAAAAGCUAGAGAAUAUUUCUCCAGUCAUCUUAUUGGGAACUCUUCUUGCUUGUCUUUUGCCUACUGUAUGAUUUGUCAUGACAUCACCUUUAUUUAUAAUGCUAAAAAUAAUGUUGUUUUUCGAGAUAAUUUUAUCAAUUUCUUAGCCCUUAAUUGCCUGCAAGUUUUAGCUUUUAUAUUGAGUGAUUUCAGUCACCAAGCCCAAGCCCAACUGGCUUCAAGCUUGAUCUUUUAGAUAAUGCUUAUUCUAUUUUUUAAUUACUUCAUGAAUCUUGUUUUGCUCUCUACUGUGGCCAUUAAAUCAAUAUUUUCUGCUUCUAGAUAGGGAUGAUUUGCAAUUAUCAUAAAUCUUCAUUGAUGAUGAAAUUUUCAAUCGCAUGUUUCUCUUGGGAAUGUUUGAAACACUAUUCCACUAGUCACUUUCUGAUUGACCACAUUCACCUCUAUUUCUUGAUCAAUCUUUAAGUCUCCCUAUGCAAUUCUUACCUGAAAAUUAAUAUAAUUAAGGAUGCUCCUGGACAAAUGCUUAUCAUCAUUCAUUUCCUUUUGCAACAGCAUGGAGAAGAUCCUUGAACGAUAUGAAAGGUAUUCUUAUGCUGAGAGGCAGCUCACAGCUGACCUUAAUUCACAGGAGAAUUGGACCCUGGAGUACAACAGACUCAAGGCAAAGGUUGAGCUUUUACAGAGAAACCUUAGGCAUUACAUGGGAGAAGAUAUAGACUCGUUGAGCCUGAAAGAGCUGCAAAACUUGGAGCAGCAGCUUGAAACUGCUCUCAAGCACAUUCGGACUAGAAAAAACCAACUAAUGUACGAGUCCAUCUCUGAGCUUCAGAAAAAGGAGAAGGCAAUACAAGAGCAAAAUAGCAUGCUAGCAAAGCAGAUUAAGGAGAAUGAGAAGGCAGUGGCACAGCAGGCACUCUGGGAGCAGCAUAACCAUGGAACUAAUAUGUCACCCUUCCUUCUGCCUCAGCCACCGCUCCCAUGUCCAAACAUUGGUGGCACUUACCAGGAAGAAGCACCAGAAGGGAGGAGGAACGAGCUUGACCUUACCCUGGAGCCAAUAUACUCUUGCCACCUUGGAUGCUUCACCACAUGAAAAUGGUGACAAAAGGGAAAGAUACAUAAUGCUCUAAUGGGUAAUUGCAGGCCAUAAAGUUUUUGGCUUUUUAAUAUAGACUUGGAAACAUUGGCUAAGAUAAUUAACAAAAAAUAUCAGAAAAAUUGAUGUGACUAAGACUUGAUCAUCUUGGACGCUUUUGCAUAUAUCUAAUGUAACAAAUCUUCUAUCUUGAUAUGCAUGAUAAAUGAAUAUACG
Molecule: unclassified non-coding RNA, 1591 nt
Filed under: Hevea brasiliensis (rubber tree)
Lineage: Eukaryota; Viridiplantae; Streptophyta; Magnoliopsida; Malpighiales; Euphorbiaceae
Source: RNAcentral